Electrophorus electricus (electric eel) is the source of this 428-nucleotide non-coding RNA. The record is from RefSeq and is a predicted model, not a curated record. Lineage: Eukaryota; Metazoa; Chordata; Actinopteri; Gymnotiformes; Gymnotidae.
CUCUAAGAGGAGGUGUAAGACUUUGCCUGAAGUAAUCUAUGAGGAGAUUGACCACAGAAUCACCAAUGAAAGAACUCCCAUCUCAGCUCAAAAGGAAUAUAUCAACUCAGAAGCUCAGCAUUCUGGUUAUGAAGAUGUUGGUAAAGAGCUUCUCUCAGCAAAAUAUGUCAAUGAAGAAAAGACUGAGUAUUAUGAUGAUGCUGUUACCAGUAGUGGUCUGACAAGUGACACAGAGACAAAAAAGACACGGGAGAAUUAUGAUGACAUCAGACCUGCGCAGGCUCCUGAUAGUGCAGCAACUCUUAUUCCAGAGGACUAUGAUGAUGUCAUCUCCCCUGGACAGGACUCAGGAGGUGGUACAGCAAAAUAUGUCAAUGAAGAAAAGACUGAGUAUUAUGAUGAUGCUGUUACCAGUAGUGGCCUGACAA